Molecule: ribosomal RNA, 330 nt
Filed under: uncultured bacterium
Lineage: Bacteria
Description: bacterial SSU rRNA
Rfam family: Bacterial small subunit ribosomal RNA
Source: RNAcentral
UCUGUAGGCGGUGCGGCAAGUCGGAAGUGAAAUCUCAGGGCUCAACUCUGAGUCUGCUUUCGAAACUGCCGUGCUGGAGUGCGGGAGAGGUGAGUGGAAUUGCAGGUGUAGCGGUGAAAUGCGUAGAUAUCUGCAGGAACACCAGAGGCGAAGGCGGCUCACUGGACCGCAACUGACGCUGAGAGACGAAAGCUAGGGGAGCAAACAGGAUUAGAUACCCUGGUAGUCCUAGCCCUAAACCAUCAGGACUUGGCGUGGGUCCCGUUCGGGGCCCGUGUCGGAGCUAACGUGUGAAGUCCUGCGCCUGGGGAGUACGGCCGCAAGGCUGAA